This 82-nucleotide transfer RNA is filed under the name Trichonephila inaurata madagascariensis. It matches the Rfam family "tRNA". From Rfam's summary of the family: Transfer RNA (tRNA) molecules are approximately 80 nucleotides in length. Their secondary structure includes four short double-helical elements and three loops (D, anti-codon, and T loops). The record is from Rfam by way of RNAcentral. Lineage: Eukaryota; Metazoa; Arthropoda; Arachnida; Araneae; Nephilidae.
GCAGUCGUGGCCGAGUGGUUAAGGCGAUGGACUUGAAAUCCAUUGGGGUCUCUCCGCGUAGGUUCGAAUCCUACCGGCUGCG